Solanum tuberosum (potato) is the source of this 2239-nucleotide long non-coding RNA. RefSeq lists it as uncharacterized. The record is from RefSeq and is a predicted model, not a curated record. Lineage: Eukaryota; Viridiplantae; Streptophyta; Magnoliopsida; Solanales; Solanaceae. The transcript is spliced from 2 exons.
AACCACUGGUUCUUUUCUGUCUGUAUUUCAGUACCUUUUGUAUAUGAUAGUAUUUUAUGGCCAAUGAACUGAUAACGUAUGUGGAUCCUUAUUAUUGGCCACUUGCCUGAAAUUCUGUAGCAAUAAGCAAAAGACAGAAGCUUAGAAGGGUUUACUCAGAACAUACUGUGGAGCCAUGUUUUGGCUUCAUUCAAACAAAAAAACUACUUAAAUCUGUUUUCAUCCACUCUUAUCCAAAAAUAUAAAUGCAAGCUACGUUGGAUAUUGCAAAUCAGUAGCUCUCUAAAUAUGUAUAGCUUCUCUUUUUUUUUUUUGAGAAGGUAACAUAUUUGUAUAUAUAGAUAUAAAGUUGGACCUCCCACUUCAAAAUUGUGUGAGUCCCCCAUAAUUACAAAAUGCCAUGCAAAAUAUCUCUGCCAUCCUAUAUCUUCUUUACAAGGAAUUAGAACAUCGAAAAUUGAACCAUGAUCUUCUAAGCUUAUCCCUUUACACCAAAAGUAAAAAAAGAUGACACUUCAAUUUCAACUUCUGGAUGUUGCUAGUCUUCUCUGCAAAACAUCUUUGAUUUCUUUCCCAGAUUGUCCACCAAAUGCAAGCUGGGACAAUCCUCCAUCUCUUUUUGUUGCCAGUUGGGUGGCCUUCACCGUUCCAGCAAUUGAGAAAUUACGAGAUACUUCUUGGUGUUACCCAUUGUAUACCCCUUAAGUUUAAAAAUAUCCUCCAUAGCUGUGAAGUUCCCUUACAAUGUAAAAAAAAGAUGAAUAAUUGUCUUUGCCUCUUCUCCACAUAUGUAACAUCUAGAGUACAAGGGUAUUAUCCUCUCCUGGCAAGAUUUUCCUGUGUAAGAACUGCUCCUCUGGCCAGUAACCAAGUAAAACAUGCAACUUCGUAUGGAAUUUUAACCUUCCAUAUCAUUUUCCAUGGCCAACUCUCCAAAACAUAAUUAGAUGUGUUGAAUUUCCUAUUAGCUAAACUAACAGAGAAGUUCCCAGUUUUGUGUCCUUGCCAUAUCAACUGAUCCUAGUAAUCUGCUCCAGCAUUUUAUAUAAUUCAACCACUCUGCCCAUCUCCCAAUCAAAAAGGGAUCUUCUGAAGGUAAGGGUCCAGCCUUGAGGACUCCAUACCUCUCCAACUGUAGCUUGUUGUUGUUGAUUGAUCCUGUGAAUAUCAGGAAGAGAUUUACCAAAGCACCACUUCCCAACCAAUUGCCAUUCCAAAAAUAAAUCUUUAUACCAUUACCAAUUUUAAGAGUGGUUUUGGUGCUGAAUUCUGGCAAAGGAUUCCUUAUGGGCUUCCACAGACCAACUCCAUAAGGAAGGCUCAUUUACCAUGUUGGUGGUCUACUGUUCUUCUGUACUGUAUUUCUCCUAAUCACCUCCUUCCACAGUGAAUGCUCAUUUGAAGCAAACUUCCAUGGCCAUCUCAUCAUCAAGCUUCGGUUCUGUACCUUCUAAGCUCUUUUCCCCAAACCCCAAUCCUUCUUGCUGAUUACCAGUGAAUCCCAUUUGACAAGGUGAAUUUUUUUCUUUUCACUGUUUCCUUCCCAUAGAAAAUUUCUUCUAAAGGAAUCAAUUCUCUCGGCAACAGCCAGCAUUCACUGGAAUAGGGAAUAGAGACAUCAUGCAUGUUGGCAUAGCAUCCAGAACUGAGUUUAUUAGAAUAAGCCACACCCCAAUGAAAGGUACUGGCACUUCCAAUUGGCCAGUUUCUUCUCACAUUUUUCUAUAACUCCAUUCCAUAUCCUAUUUGAUUUGCUCCUUGUUCCCAACGGAAUCCCCAAGCAUACAGUUGGCAGUUCCCCAACUUUUCUAUACAAAAUAUUAGCCAAACUUGGGAUAUCAUUUACAUCUGGAUAUACAUUGCUUGUGUUCCAGCCAAUAUGUAAGCCUGAGAUAUCUUCAACCAGAAUGAAAAAAUCACCCUCAUCAUCAUCGACUGUUCUCUGUCAACUUCACAAAAUGCAAGAGAAUCAUCAGCAUACUGAAGUCCUUCCAUGGCUAUGAUGAAAAGGAAAAGAGAGCGAGGAUCUCCUUACCUUAAGCCUAUCUGGGAAGGAAAAAAACCAGCAGGAGUACCAUUUAUCAGUACUGAAAAUUUGACAGUGCUUAUGCAAAACUUUAUUUACCCAACCCAUCUUUCGCCAAAUCCCAUUUCCUCAUCACAUCCAGCAAGUAUUUCUUAUAUGUAUAUAUACUUCAGAGGCUUGUAGAUUUUUGAUAUAUUUUCUAUAUCUUUUUCU